GUCCAGGAUAACCUAGUGGACAUGGCAUCUGCCCGGUAAGCGGAACACUGGGUUCGAUUACCAUCCCUGGACA
This 73-nucleotide transfer RNA is filed under the name Cordylochernes scorpioides. RNAcentral describes it as "tRNA-Thr". Lineage: Eukaryota; Metazoa; Arthropoda; Arachnida; Pseudoscorpiones; Chernetidae. The record is from RNAcentral.